Molecule: small nuclear RNA, 113 nt
Filed under: Aptenodytes forsteri (emperor penguin)
Lineage: Eukaryota; Metazoa; Chordata; Aves; Sphenisciformes; Spheniscidae
Also listed under: 1 other name
Description: U11 spliceosomal RNA
Rfam family: U11 spliceosomal RNA
Source: Rfam by way of RNAcentral
AAAAAGGGCUUCUGCUGUGCGUGGCACCGGGGGGUCCCGCGGCUGCCCCUGUGGAAUCAGCAUCAAGAGAUUUUGGAAGCACAAUUUUUGUGGUGGGUGGUUGAGUCACCAUC